Molecule: ribosomal RNA, 492 nt
Filed under: uncultured bacterium
Lineage: Bacteria
Description: partial 16S ribosomal RNA
Rfam family: Bacterial small subunit ribosomal RNA
Source: RNAcentral
GAUGAACGCUAGCUACAGGCUUAACACAUGCAAGUCGAGGGGAAACGACAUCGAAAGCUUGCUUUUGAUGGGCGUCGACCGGCGCACGGGUGAGUAACGCGUAUCCAACCUGCCCAUCACUUGGGAAUAACCUUGCGAAAGUAAGACUAAUACCCAAUGAUAUCCCACGAAGGCAUCGGAAUGGGAUUAAAGAUUUAUCGGUGAUGGAUGGGGAUGCGUCUGAUUAGCUUGUUGGCGGGGUAACGGCCCACCAAGGCAACGAUCAGUAGGGAUUCUGAGAGGAAGGUCCCCCACAUUGGAACUGAGACACGGUCCAAACUCCUACGGGAGGCAGCAGUGAGGAAUAUUGGUCAAUGGGCGAGAGCCUGAACCAGCCAAGUAGCGUGCAGGAAGACGGCCCUAUGGGUUGUAAACUGCUUUUAUAAGGGAAUAAAGUGGGUCACGUGUGACUUUUUGCAUGUACCUUAUGAAUAAGGACCGGCUAAUUCCGUG